Molecule: ribosomal RNA, 486 nt
Filed under: uncultured bacterium
Lineage: Bacteria
Description: partial 16S ribosomal RNA
Rfam family: Bacterial small subunit ribosomal RNA
Source: RNAcentral
GAUGAACGCUGGCGGCGUGCCUAAUACAUGCAAGUCGAACGCUGGAAAUCUAGCUUGCUAGAUUGAAGGAGUGGCGAACGGGUGAGUAAUACAUAAGCAACCUACCCACGAAGACUGGGAUAAUCUCUGGAAACGGGGACUAAUACCGGAUAGGUAAUCGGAAGGCAUCUUCUGAUUAUUAAAGGUUAAAAACACUGGUGGAUGGGCUUAUGGCGCAUUAGUUAGUUGGUGAGGUAACGGCCCACCAAGACGAUGAUGCGUAGCCGGCCUGAGAGGGUGAACGGCCACAGUGGGACUGAGACACGGCCCAGACUCCUACGGGUGGCAGCAGUAGGGGAGUUUCGGCAAUGGGGGAAACCCUGACCGAGCAACGCCGCGUGAGUGAUGACGGCCUUCGGGUUGUAAAGCUCUGUUGUAAGGGAAGAACGGUAGAUAGAGAAUAUCUAAAUGACGGUACCUUACCAGAAAGCCACGGCUAACUACGUG